This 292-nucleotide ribosomal RNA is filed under the name uncultured bacterium. RNAcentral describes it as "partial 16S ribosomal RNA". It matches the Rfam family "Bacterial small subunit ribosomal RNA", at positions 505 to 796 of the family's 1533-position model. The record is from RNAcentral.
GUGCCAGCAGCCGCGGUACUACGGAGGGUGCAAACGUCGUUCGGAAUUAUUGGGCGUAAAGAGCAUGUAGGCGGUUGUUUAAGUCUGAUGUGAAAGCCCGGGGCCCAACCCAGGAAGUGCAUUGGAUACUGGAUAACUUGAGUACGUGAGAGGAAAGUGGAAUUUCGAGUGUAGGGGUGAAAUCCGUAGAUAUUCGAAGGAACACCAGUGGCGAAGGCGGCUUUCUGGACCGAUACUGACGCUGAGAUGCGAAAGCGGGGGGAGCAAGCAGGAUUAGAAACCCCAGUAGUCC